Prionailurus viverrinus (fishing cat) is the source of this 804-nucleotide long non-coding RNA. RefSeq lists it as uncharacterized. The transcript is spliced from 3 exons. The record is from RefSeq and is a predicted model, not a curated record. NCBI's taxonomy places the organism in Eukaryota, Metazoa, Chordata, Mammalia, Carnivora, Felidae.
AGCGCGCGUGCGCGGCUGGGCGAUGUAGCGGCUGAAGCUCACGCUGCCCCAAGGGCAGAGGAGGCCGCGGGGCUCCCAGCGUUAAGUAGGGCUGGCUCAAGCAUCUUCGCGCCUCCUUCCCCUCAGUAGGGCAGCUCCUGGCUACACCUGUGGAGAUCCACACUGCUGCCCUCGUGUCUUCAGAAAUAGAUCCUACUCGAGAAAAGGAGAGCUGAUUUUCUCCCGGUCGCUCAUUGGAAAAGGACAUUUUCCUUUGCAGACAUGGCAAAGAAAUGUGUUUGCUAAGGGGGGAGAAUACCAUAAAGCUGCUUAAGUUAAAUAAGCUCGCACAAGAUCACAGAGACGGGCAAUUGCAUUUUAAAUGGGGCGAAAAGGAAGACCAUUUUCAGGCCUGUGAUCCCAGUGGGCAGUAAUGUCUAGCAGCACCUAUAACUCUUCUAACUACUGUACUGGGUGUAGGAAAGCAAGACCAGCCCCAGACACUCACUAUGGAAACCUCAUCUGUACCUUCUCCUAUACAUGCCAUUUUGCAAGCCAAACAUGGAGGUCCAUGAGCUGAGAAGACAAAGUUCAACCUCUUCAAGGCUUGGGAAAGGCAAGCUGUGAACAUGCUGCCUUCCUAUUUCACUUGAACUUAUUCAUUGUGACUUACAUGUGCAGCAACCCUCACAAACGUUGUCCUUUGGUUGAAAAAAUACCUUCAAGUGUUUCUACAGCUCAGACUCAGGAAGUCUGUGGGAAACAAUUAUAUUUCAUUCGCUUUCAGUGUUGAUUAAAAAUAACAGAUAAGCAUCUCAAAUUGAA